AGUAACAAAGAAAGAAAAGAAGAGGACUUGGGAGGAGUGGCAGAGAGCUAAAGAGAAGAAGAAGCUCCAAGUAAAUUGGGAAAAGUAAAUAAAAUAAAAAUCUGCAUCAACUUUUAUUUAGCAAAGUGAAAUCUACAUCUACAUUAGGGAAAAUAUCAAACAAGUGUACUAACAAUGAAGAGAAAAAAAAAAAGACCAAUAAUGUUCUGAAGAGAGACUGCAGCCUUUCAAUACUUCAUAUUUUCACCUUGUCCCACUUCUCAGACCUCAGUACUCACCAGCUUAUCUUCUCUUCCUUUGGUUUCUG
RNAcentral lists this unclassified non-coding RNA (307 nucleotides) under Hevea brasiliensis (rubber tree). Lineage: Eukaryota; Viridiplantae; Streptophyta; Magnoliopsida; Malpighiales; Euphorbiaceae. The record is from RNAcentral.